RNAcentral lists this ribosomal RNA (344 nucleotides) under uncultured bacterium. Its description in RNAcentral is "bacterial SSU rRNA". It matches the Rfam family "Bacterial small subunit ribosomal RNA", at positions 8 to 334 of the family's 1533-position model. The record is from RNAcentral.
AGGGUUCGAUCCUGGCUCAGGAUGAACGCUGGCGGCGUGCCUAACACAUGCAGGUCGAACGAAGCGACUGGAGGAAGUUUUCGGAUGGAAUCCGGUUGACUGAGUGGCGGACGGGUGAGUAACGCGUGAGGAACCUGCCUCAAAGAGGGGGACAACAGUUGGAAACGACUGCUAAUACCGCAUAAGCCCACAGGUCGGCAUCGACCAGAGGGAAAAGGAGCAAUCCGCUUUGAGAUGGCCUCGCGUCCGAUUAGCUAGUUGGUGAGGUAACGGCCCACCAAGGCGACGAUCGGUAGCCGGACUGAGAGGUUGAACGGCCACAUUGGGACUGAGACACGGCCCAG